AACAGGAUUAGAUACCCUGGUAGUCCACGCCGUAAACGAUGUCGACUUGGAGGUUGUGCCCUUGAGGCGUGGCUUCCGGAGCUAACGCGUUAAGUCGACCGCCUGGGAAGUACGGCCGCAAGGUUAAAACUCAAAUGAAUUGACGGGGGCCCGCACAAGCGGUGGAGCAUGUGGUUUAAUUCGAUGCAACGCGAAGAACCUUACCUGGUCUUGACAUCCACGGAAGUUUCCAGAGAUGAGAAUGUGCCUUCGGGAACCGUGAGACAGGUGCUGCAUGGCUGUCGUCAGCUCGUGUUGUGAAAUGUUGGGUUAAGUCCCGCAACGAGCGCAACCCUUAUCCUUUGUUGCCAGCGGUCCGGCCGGGAACUCAAAGGAGACUGCCAGUGAUAAACUGGAGGAAGGUGGGGAUGACGUCAAGUCAUCAUGGCCCUUACGACCAGGGCUACACACGUGCUACAAUGGCGCAUACAAGGAGAAGCGACCUCGCGAGAGCAAGCGGACCUCAUAAAGUGCGUCGUAGUCCGGAUUGGAGUCUGCAACUCGACUCCAUGAAGUCGGAAUCGCUAGUAAUCGUGGAUCAGAAUGCCACGGUGAAUACGUUCCCGGGCCUUGUACACACCGCCCGUCACACCAUGGGAGUGGGUUGCAAAAGAAGUAGGUAGCUUAACCUUCGGGAGGGCGCUUACCACUUUGUGAUUCAUGACUGGGGUGAAGUCGUAACAAGGUAACC
This 730-nucleotide ribosomal RNA is filed under the name uncultured bacterium. RNAcentral's name for it is "bacterial SSU rRNA". It matches the Rfam family "Bacterial small subunit ribosomal RNA", at positions 771 to 1501 of the family's 1533-position model. The record is from RNAcentral.